UCUUACAGAAAUCCCCUAUCCGAUUCUCUCCCCCUUCCUCUAUCAGGGUGCUCCCCACCCCCACCCACUCCCAUCUUCCUGCCCUGGCAUUUCCUUACACUGGCGAAUUGAACACCCUCAGGCCCGAGGACUUCUCCCACUGUUGUCCAACAAGGCAAUCUUCUGGCACAUAUGUGGCCAGCGCCAUGGGGCACUCCAUGUGUAUCCUAUGGUUGGUGGUCCAGUCCUCUGGAGAUCCAUCUGUCCUGAUGACACUGUUGCUCUUUCCAUGGGGCUGCCGAAAUAUUUUACAGACAAUCAUGAAAACUAGUGUGAUAAAAAAGUACACAUGAUGAAAACAAAUGGUUCUCUCCAUGUGUUUUCAAUGAUUAAAUUAGGAUUUCAAAGUCAUAGAUACUUCCCCACUCCUGCCACAGGCUUAUACAUAGGGCACACUGUGGUUACUUGGGCUUCAGCUGUACAGUAGUACACAUCAUUUGGAGGUUUAGAAUGCUGUGCAGCAACCCAUUUUUUUUUCAACACACUCAACUCCAGUUGAAGGAGUGAUGUGAUGAAGAGGAAGAUAUUUUAACAUCACUUAUCAGUACUAUAUUAAUAGGCCCUGCUACAAUACAGCCACACCUUCUAGAGUUAUGGUCAAUAUAUAGAAAAUAUCUUUUUAUCUUUCUGGCCAUAUUUUCUGUUCAUCUUUCAUAUGGUUUCAUAACAGGACAGAGAGGGUAGGAUAAGAUUACAAAUGGGAGAGAAGAGAGAUGCAAUAUAAACAUAAUGAACGACAACAUAAUCUUAAGAUGACCCUCUGCAAAUGAUAGGACAGAAGACAGAAUUUGUAGCAACUCUGUAGUAGGAUCCUAGAAAUAUUUAGAAGGAAAACUUCCAGAGCCUAUCCUUGUAUCCUGUUCUGUCUUAAGAGAUGAAAGGCAUCAUUUUGUUCUCUGCAUCUAAGCUGGGAAGAAGCUACCAAGAUGAAGUUGCAGGCAGGGCAAGAACUUCUGGGGUGGCAGCUCCAAGCUUCUGUGGACAUAAUGCAAAUCUUGGUUGGUUGACAGAAUUUGGUAAUAUUGAUAAAUCUGACAAUGCUCAGUGCCUCAGUAUGUUCAAGGUCAUGAGGACUUAGGGACAAUAAAUUAAAACCUCUAACAUUAUCAACUCAUGUCUCUUCAAGUCUGUUUUGUGUCCUUGGAUUAAAAAUAUGUAGAA
Molecule: long non-coding RNA, 1200 nt
Filed under: Mus musculus (house mouse)
Lineage: Eukaryota; Metazoa; Chordata; Mammalia; Rodentia; Muridae
Description: long non-coding RNA chr16:40654017-40655217
Source: RNAcentral